RNAcentral lists this ribosomal RNA (492 nucleotides) under uncultured bacterium. Its description in RNAcentral is "partial 16S ribosomal RNA". It matches the Rfam family "Bacterial small subunit ribosomal RNA", at positions 29 to 507 of the family's 1533-position model. The record is from RNAcentral.
AGUGAACGCUGGCGGUAGGCCUAACACAUGCAAGUCGAACGGCAGCACAGUAAGAGCUUGCUCUUACGGGUGGCGAGUGGCGGACGGGUGAGGAAUACAUCGGCAUCUACUUUUUCGUGGGGGAUAUCGUAGGGCAACUUACGCUAAUACCGCAUACGUCCUACGGGUGAAAGCAGGGGAUCUUCGGACCUUGCGUGAUUGAAUGAGCCGAUGUCGGAUUAGCUAGUUGGCGGGGUAAAGGCCCACCAAGGCGACGAUCCGUAGCUGGUCUGAGAGGAUGAUCAGCCACACUGGAACUGAGACACGGUCCAGACUCCUACGGGAGGCAGCAGUGGGGAAUAUUGGACAAUGGGCGCAAGCCUGAUCCAGCCAUACCGCGUGAGUGAAGAAGGCCUUCGGGUUGUAAAGCCCUUUUAUUGGGAAAGAAAAGCAGCAGGUUAAUACCCCGCUGUUCUGACGGUACCCAAAGAAUAAGCACCGGCUAACUUCGUG